GAACGGUAACAGGUUAAGCUGACGAGUGGCGAACGGGUGAGUAAUGUAUCGGAACGUGCCCAGUCGUGGGGGAUAACUGCUCGAAAGAGCAGCUAAUACCGCAUACGACCUGAGGGUGAAAGCGGGGGAUCGCAAGACCUCGCGCGAUUGGAGCGGCCGAUAUCAGAUUAGCUAGUUGGUGGGGUAAAGGCCUACCAAGGCGACGAUCUGUAGCUGGUCUGAGAGGACGACCAGCCACACUGGGACUGAGACACGGCCCAGACUCCUACGGGAGGCAGCAGUGGGGAAUUUUGGACAAUGGACGCAAGUCUGAUCCAGCCAUGCCGCGUGCGGGAAGAAGGCCUUCGGGUUGUAAACCGCUUUUGUCAGGGGAAGAAAGGAUCCUUCUAANUAAGGGGUCUGAUGACGGUACCUGAAGAAAUAGCANCCGGCUACUACGUG
RNAcentral lists this ribosomal RNA (441 nucleotides) under uncultured bacterium. RNAcentral describes it as "bacterial SSU rRNA". It matches the Rfam family "Bacterial small subunit ribosomal RNA", at positions 64 to 507 of the family's 1533-position model. The record is from RNAcentral.